RNAcentral lists this ribosomal RNA (354 nucleotides) under uncultured bacterium. RNAcentral describes it as "partial 16S ribosomal RNA". It matches the Rfam family "Bacterial small subunit ribosomal RNA", at positions 338 to 709 of the family's 1533-position model. The record is from RNAcentral.
CCUACGGGAGGCAGCAGUGGGGAAUAUUGCACAAUGGGGGAAACCCUGAUGCAGCGACGCCGCGUGGGUGAAGAAGGUUUUCGGCUCGUAAAGCCCUAUCGGCAGGGAAGAUAAUGACGGUACCUGACCAAGAAGCCCCGGCUAACUACGUGCCAGCAGCCGCGGUAAUACGUAGGGGGCAAGCGUUAUCCGGAUUUACUGGGUGUAAAGGGGGCGUAGACGGCAGAGCAAGUCAGGAGUGAAAUCCCGGGGCUUAACCCCGGAACUGCAUUUGAAACUGUAAGGCUGGAGUAUAGGAGGGGUAGGCGGAAUUCCUGGUGUAGCGGUGAAAUGCGUAGAGAUUAGGAGGAACAC